AAGACUAUAGACCUGCGGAGUACCUGCGGAAGGAUCAUUACCAAUUUUAUUAUAUUAGUUUGUGCCUCCGUCAAAAGGGGUUACAUAACUACUAUAUAAACGUUGAACUGGAUCGUUGGUGUGGAUUGCUUGGGAAUGGACGAAGCGACAAGCCUCUUCCGGACAGGCAAACCCCACGCCGAUAACCUUUUUUCAUACUAAUUUACAACUAGUACAUACUACAAACAAACAAACAAACAA
This 240-nucleotide unclassified non-coding RNA is filed under the name soil metagenome. Its description in RNAcentral is "partial contains 5.8S ribosomal RNA, internal transcribed spacer 2, and large subunit ribosomal RNA". The record is from RNAcentral.